UACGUAUGGUGCAAGCGUUAUCCGGAUUUACUGGGUGUAAAGGGAGCGCAGGCGGCACGGCAAGCCUGAUGUGAAAGCCCGCGGCCCAACCGCGGGACUGCAUUGGGAACUACCGGGCUGGAGUGCCGGAGAGGUAGGCGGAAUUCCUAGUGUAGCGGUGAAAUGCGUAGAUUUUAGGAGGAACACCAGUGGCGAAGGCGGCCUACUGGACGGUGACUGACGCUGAGGCUCGAAAGCGUGGGGAGCAAACAGG
Molecule: ribosomal RNA, 253 nt
Filed under: uncultured bacterium
Lineage: Bacteria
Description: partial 16S ribosomal RNA
Rfam family: Bacterial small subunit ribosomal RNA
Source: RNAcentral